Molecule: unclassified non-coding RNA, 228 nt
Filed under: uncultured fungus
Lineage: Eukaryota; Fungi
Description: sequence contains ITS1, 5.8S rRNA gene
Rfam family: 5.8S ribosomal RNA (bases 180-228)
Source: RNAcentral
UCUCCGUAGGUGAACCUGCGGAGGGAUCAUUACCGAGUGAGGGUUCCGGCCCGACCUCCAACCCUUUGUGAAUUCGACCCAGUUGCCUCGGGGGCGACCCGGCCUUCGGGCGUCGGGGCCCCCGGAGGACUUCCAACCCUGCAUCAUUGCGUCGGAGUAUUUUUUGUAAAUCUAAACAAAACUUUCAACAACGGAUCUCUUGGUUCUGGCAUCGAUGAAGAACGCAGC